GUCGAACGCAGUAGCAAUACUGAGUGGCGAACGGGUGAGUAUAAUGUGGGUAUCUGCCCUUUGGUUUGGAAUAACACGAGGAAACUUGUGCUAAUACUAGAUAAGCCUUCACAGGGAAAGCUUUAGCGCCAAAGGAUGAGCCCGCACUUGAUUAGCUAGUUGGUAAGGUAAUGGCUUACCAAGGCUACGAUCAAUAGCUGAUCUGAGAGGAUGAUCAGCCACAUUGGGACUGAGACACGGCCCAAACUUCUACGGAAGGCAGCAGUGGGGAGUCUUGCACAAUGGGGGAAACCCUGAUGCAGCGAUGCCGCGUGAGUGAAGAAGGCCCUUGGGUUGUAAAGCUCUUUCGUCGGGGAAGAAAAUGACUGUACCCGAAUAAGAAGGUCCGGCUAACUUCGUGCCAGCAGCCGCGGUAAUACGAAGGGACCUAGCGUAGUUCGGAAUUACUGGGCUUAAAGAGUUCGUAGGUGGUUAAAAAAGUUGGUGGUGAAAUCCCAGAGCUUAACUCUGGAACUGCCAUCAAAACUUUUUAGCUAGAGUAUGAUAGAGGAAAGCAGAAUUUCUAGUGUAGAGGUGAAAUUCGUAGAUAUUAGAAAGAAUACCGAUUGCGAAGGCAGCUUUCUGGAUCAUUACUGACACUGAGGAACGAAAGCAUGGGUAGCGAAGAGGAUUAGACACCCUCGUAGUCCAUGCCGUAAACGAUGUGUG
Molecule: ribosomal RNA, 708 nt
Filed under: uncultured Candidatus Pelagibacter sp.
Lineage: Bacteria; Pseudomonadati; Pseudomonadota; Alphaproteobacteria; Candidatus Pelagibacterales; Candidatus Pelagibacteraceae
Description: bacterial SSU rRNA
Rfam family: Bacterial small subunit ribosomal RNA
Source: RNAcentral